UCGACUCAUCCCCGGGGAGAGUAGGCCAUUCGCCUGGGAGAUUCUAAAAUUGCGGAGGCUUGGUUUGAUCAAGCAGCUGAGUAUUGGAAACAGGCCAUAGCGCUUACACCUGAUAAUUAUAUUGAAGCACGUAAUUGGUUGAAGAUCACGGGGCGUUUCAAAUCCGAAACUCCUGACAGAUGGCCAGUGGCCCAAAGAAACGAAAGAAUCGGUUACAUUUUUCAUAGGAUCUCCUCUUAUAGAUGACUCAAAAAUCGAUCAGAGUUCUUUUUGUACCACUUUGCCUAUUUAUUCUUUUCUUUUUUUUAUCGAGUCAAAAAAUAUUCGAGUUAUAAAGUAUGAACUACCCCCUUGCUGUUGCAACACCUCCUAAAAAAGAGAGUUUCCCUUGGACUACAAACGGGAAAGGAUGAAAGCGAGAAUGACGAAAUUGUCCCUGGUGC
RNAcentral lists this long non-coding RNA (443 nucleotides) under Olea europaea subsp. europaea. Lineage: Eukaryota; Viridiplantae; Streptophyta; Magnoliopsida; Lamiales; Oleaceae. The record is from RNAcentral.